Molecule: long non-coding RNA, 449 nt
Filed under: Homo sapiens (human)
Lineage: Eukaryota; Metazoa; Chordata; Mammalia; Primates; Hominidae
Description: non-protein coding LINC01714:32
Source: RNAcentral
AAUUUGAAUGGAAUGCAGUCACUGGAUGAGGGUACAGAGAAUCCCUGAGCAGAAUCCUGGGUGUUUGUUUCUUUCCUGUGGUCCUGCCCUGCCCAGGCCUCUGAGAAAUGCAGAGCCUUUCCUCUCCCCAUCCCUCCCUCUCCCUCAGAGGUGAUUUUGAAAGGUCUCAGCUUCUUAUGCAUACCCCUUGGGGUCAGGAGAUUAUUUUUUUGACAUUUGCCUUCUGGCAGAGCUGGGACCAAUGAGUGGGAGGUGGAUUUUGGCGGAACACAGGAGGAAUUCUCUUAGUCAGAGCCAUCCAAAAAUGGAAAGACCUGACUCAGAAGACAGCGUGUCCCCUGCCUGCAUAAGGUCCUGGUGAGGUCCUGUCAAGGGUGCUCUGCCCUGUGCUUUGACAGGUGUGUGCGGAGAUGAAAGAUGGAGUCUCACUCUGUCGUGUCGCGAUCUGG